This 450-nucleotide ribosomal RNA is filed under the name uncultured bacterium. RNAcentral describes it as "partial 16S ribosomal RNA". It matches the Rfam family "Bacterial small subunit ribosomal RNA", at positions 354 to 796 of the family's 1533-position model. The record is from RNAcentral.
GUGGGGAAUUUUGGACAAUGGGCGAAAGCCUGAUCCAGCAAUGCCGCGUGUGUGAAGAAGGCCUUCGGGUUGUAAAGCACUUUUGUCCGGAAAGAAAUCUGUCUGGCUAAUACCUAGAUGGGAUGACGGUACCGGAAGAAUAAGCACCGGCUAACUACGUGCCAGCAGCCGCGGUAAUACGUAGGGUGCGAGCGUUAAUCGGAAUUACUGGGCGUAAAGCGUGCGCAGGCGGUUUUGUAAGACCGAUGUGAAAUCCCCGGGCUUAACCUGGGAACUGCAUUGGUGACUGCAAGGCUAGAGUGCGUCAGAGGGGGGUGGAAUUCCGCGUGUAGCAGUGAAAUGCGUAGAGAUGCGGAGGAACACCGAUGGCGAAGGCAGCCCCCUGGGAUGACACUGACGCUCAUGCACGAAAGCGUGGGGAGCAAACAGGAUUAGAAACCCUAGUAGUCC